CGCGGAGACAAAAUUGAGAGCCCUAACGGUUCUCAAUUUUUCCCCUCUUACUCCCAUCGACGCCCUUCUUCCCCUCUAUCACUGCGUCUCCUCCUCCCUCGCACUCGAUUGUUCCUCUCCUCUCUUGCUGCACAGGUCUCUCCUCUCUCGCUGCGUCUCCUCCUCUAUCGCUGCGUCUCCUCCUCUCUUGCUCUCUUGUUCGUUACCUCUCUCGUUGCACAGGUCUCUCCUGUCAAACCCAACGUCGCCUGCUUGCAGCCCCAGGUGAGCCCUAUGCGUCUCUUUGUCGCUCUCUCACAUGCUUGUUUUGUGAAAAUUCAUCUUUCCUUUUUUCUGUUUUUCAUACGCAGGCCUUCAAUACCAACAAGAGAUUUGGUCAUAUCCCUCUUGGCUGCUCCUUUAUUCAAGUAUGCCUCUCACAACAGGAAAUUUACCCUCCUCUUGCUUUUAAUUUCUGUUUCCUUUCCGUAUGAUGGUUUUUUUUAUCUAAGUACAGAUUGUUUGGCUUCAAGUUACUCGUGUUUUCCGUCUCUCUUUGUCUCUGUAGCUAUGUUUUUGAUGGUUCACUAUUGUCAAAAGGCGCCCACUCCAAAGUAGCUAAUAAACCUGAAUUUCCCUGCAUCCCUGUACUUCUUGACAUAUGAUUUUGCAUGAUCUCAAAUUUUCUGUUGCAGAACAAGAGACUGAUUAUCAUUUUACUUCAUUCUGUAUAUGAAAUUGUGAAUUUGGAUAUCAUCAUUGUAGUUCUGAGUCAUCCAAUAAGAUUUGAGGCUCUGUUAGCUGUUACUGUCAUUUGGGUUCUAGUUGUCUAGGUUUGGUUAAACGAGGAACCAAUUUUUUUUGUUCUUGUGGUGGCAAGCCUUUGAGUAUGUUACAAGUUGCAACUCUCUGACUUAAGUAAAAUUUAUACUUGCUGGAAAUGUUUCUCCUAUCAGAUCAUGUUGCUCUAGAUCCCAAAGAAAACGGGAAGAAAACAAAAGGAAUGUAAGUCUUCCCUUUGAUUCAUCUGGAAUUUAGUUUUGCUCAUAACAUUCCUAUGAGGCUUUCUCCGGAACGAAGUUUAAACUCUGACAAAUUGACCUUGAUUUCCCUUUUUUCCCAUUUAAUAGACAGUUUAUCAAAUUGUGGAGCAUCAUGCAUUUUGAGAUCAUCUCUUCUGGUGUCCCCACAAGGAUUGCUGCUGAGCUUCAUUAUGGCCUUUGCUUGUUUCUCUUUCUAAUUUGGAAAUCCAGUUAUCCAUGUAUAGCCCAUCAAUGUGAUCUUGAUUCAUAGGAUGGAUAUCUUAUGAACCUGUGAGCUUCCUUGUGUAGCUGUUCAAUGGAUUGCUCGAGGACUGUAGAUAGAUGCUGACUCCAUCAAUCCCACACUCCAAUUAGAAGCUGUGGUUGUCUUUUAGGGGGACAAGUUUGUUUCCAGUUUGAUUACCAAUUGAUUGCAGAGAUUUUUGUAAAACCAAACUCUGAGAAGUGAUGCCUUUUUAAAGGAAAAAGAAAAACACUAAUUACAUAA
This is a long non-coding RNA of Nymphaea colorata (pocket water lily), 1509 nucleotides long. RefSeq lists it as uncharacterized. NCBI's taxonomy places the organism in Eukaryota, Viridiplantae, Streptophyta, Magnoliopsida, Nymphaeales, Nymphaeaceae. The record is from RefSeq and is a predicted model, not a curated record. The transcript is spliced from 2 exons.